GGGCACAUGGUGUAGUUGGUUAUCACGCUCGCUUAGCAUAAAACCUGCGAGAGGUGUUGGGUUCAAUUCCCAAUGUGUCCA
Molecule: transfer RNA, 81 nt
Filed under: Galerina marginata CBS 339.88
Lineage: Eukaryota; Fungi; Basidiomycota; Agaricomycetes; Agaricales; Galerinaceae
Description: tRNA-Ala
Rfam family: tRNA
About the family: Transfer RNA (tRNA) molecules are approximately 80 nucleotides in length. Their secondary structure includes four short double-helical elements and three loops (D, anti-codon, and T loops). Further hydrogen bonds mediate the characteristic L-shaped molecular structure. tRNAs have two regions of fundamental functional importance: the anti-codon, which is responsible for specific mRNA codon recognition, and the 3' end, to which the tRNAs corresponding amino acid is attached (by aminoacyl-tRNA synthetases). tRNAs cope with the degeneracy of the genetic code in two manners: having more than one tRNA (with a specific anti-codon) for a particular amino acid; and 'wobble' base-pairing, i.e. permitting non-standard base-pairing at the 3rd anti-codon position.
Source: RNAcentral